Molecule: long non-coding RNA, 8428 nt
Organism: Triticum dicoccoides
Lineage: Eukaryota; Viridiplantae; Streptophyta; Magnoliopsida; Poales; Poaceae
Exons: 2
Source: RefSeq, a predicted model, not a curated record
UCCAGAGACCAGAGUAGGGAGUUCCAGACCCAGCCACCGACGCAUCGAGCCAGCCGCUCGCUUCCUUUCGCGACCUCCGGAUUUCGCCAUCUUGCUGACUUGCUCGCUCGUCGCUCGCCGUCCCCGCCUGUGUAGCCGAUCGUUGGGCGCCCAGGACCACAGCCUGUCCGUCCCGUCCGCUCGGUGUUUGGGGCUCGACGGCGGCCGCGCCACCUCAACUGCGCAGUCGUGCCCCUGCAAGCCGGCGCUGGCGCCGGCGCCCAAUCCGCACGUCGGCGCUCGACCGCAGGCAGCCAGCAACCAUCCGUGUUGAUUUGAGGUACCAGUUCAGCUCGUCCACUACCCAUUUGGCGAUUACCAAGUUUUGAUUCGAGGGUUUGCUCUUCUCUGUACUACUCAGUACAUAAUUUGUGUUGAAUUAUAUUACUAUGAAUUUAUAAUUGAUAUUAAGUAAAUUAGUUAGAUUGUCUCUAAGUCUUCUAUGCAAAACUGAGACUUAAUUGACAAUUUUAGUAUGUUUGUAAGACCAUAUCGAUCUAUUUCUGUGGUAUUGGUAGUUAGUUAGAACGUUCACAAUGUCAUAUUUGUUGUCAAUUUUUUUAGGAGGACACCCUGUUUUCAAAUCCUAGAUCCGCCAUUGAUCAUAAGCUCAACCUUUACAUUCUGGAAUUUGAAAUGCCGAUCUGCUUAAAAUAGGUAACUUAAUCAGAUAAAGAUGUUAUAUGAAUAUCUUAUAGAUACUAUUCUCAGACAACAUGAACAACAUGGAUUAUCCAACUGAAGUUAGCCGAAGCUAAAUAUAACCUUCGCAAGCAUCUGAAAGAAUUGCUUCAUUUGUCUCUCAUACUGUGGAAAAGUAGAGUGGUGAUACAAUUGAUCACCAAUGGGUGCACAAAUAAGGAGUACAGUUUGAGGCGUUAAAAACUAAAUGCAAAUCAAAAUUAGUAAUUCAAAUCUAUCUGUAACAAAAUGUAGCGAACUAUACGAAAGAGUCAAGCACAUACUUAUGUCAGCCACUUAAAGACAAAUGUGACGAAGUGAGAAACAUUACUGCCAAUAAAAUUUGGAGGAUCCGUGCAAAGAUCAACUUGCAUGGAAUUAAAAGAAAACAAAAGUAGUUGCAGUCAUGAAUUAGUGAUGCGGGACUGCAUAUCAGAACGGAAGUAACUGACAAAAAUAAUUAGCUCACCUUCUUAAAACAUAGGUGAAGCUUGGCACUGCAGUAGAUAAAAUUUUGUAGAUUAAUAAGUGAAACAAAAAAUUGCAAGAAUGACUGCAGAAAGAAGCCAUUAUGUUCAUAACAUGUAGGUAAUGCGAGAAUAAUAUGGCAGGCUACAAACCAUCUGAAAAGCCCUAUGCACACUGUAUUUCUACCCUAUCCAUAAGACCAAAUUAUUUAUGUUGGAACCCACAUAUAUCAGUACAUUUCUACUGUGCGGUUGGAAGAGAAACUGAGAUCCACCAAGAGAAAUACUAGAAAGUGGUCGCAGGUAGGAUCCUAAUUAAUGAUACAAUGAAUGCAAUCAGGUCAAAAUAAUAUUCUACCUUGUCAUAGUUAAAAAUACAAAAUUACUAAUUUACAAACACAUAAUUAGCAGAUAAGUUCUUAGCAAAAGUUGUAGAGAAAGUUUCUUGAGAGCCAAUACACUACCUUGACUGGAAAAGUAACCCAAAAAUAUAAUUGUGUUGGAUAAAUGUAGGUUAAGCAUAGAGAAUGCUGCAUAAUACCUCAUCACUUAAGCCUCAUAUAUGUCAGUUUGGUACGACAACUUCCUGCAAUUUAAAUCUCGUAGUAGACAUGUAUGAUUUGCUACCUCACAUGCACAUUUGAUUGCAUUUGAAAUUAUAUUCUUCACAUAUGCUCUUAUCGGUAGAAAAAUGUGGAAUGAUGAUUUAUCAACCAUAGAAAGAAACAUAUUGCUACAUUGUAUAUCAGAGAGAGGGAAAGAACCACAAUAGGAUAAAUGCCAGUGUAAGGCGAACAUGUAACAUGAACAUGGUCACUCAGAACAACGGUGCAGUUUUUAAGCAUACUGAACUGAUAAAGGGGAUGCGAGUCGAAGCUUCAUACAUUUCCGUACAUACCUAGAAUCAUUUUCAAUAAUUCUAAAUUUGUGGCUAACUUGAAAAGACGAUGCAUGCUAUCUUAAGCACCAACGACUGGCGAAACUAAAAAUAAGCACCUAAAAAUGCCUUAUACAACAAUAUCAUGUAGUAGUUUCUAUAUACCCGAGCCAUCUUGGCUUAGCCAACGGUCUAUGGUACCUCAUCACUUAAGCUCAGACUUAUCAAUACAGUACUACAACUUCACUUCGAUGUAAAUCCUAGAGAAUACACGUAUGUCUUUCUACCUCAUGUACGUGUAUCCAUUUCAGAUUCCAUUAUUCACCGGUGCUCUUGAACAUGGUCACACAAAAUGUUUGUAAGAUAUAAGGAAAACAUACUGAACCGGAAAAAAAGAUGUCAGUCAGAGCUGUGUACAUUUCCUUGCAUACCUUGAUUCAAUUCUUUCUAAUUUGAGGCUACCACGUAAGCAUGAUGCAUGCUUCAAUAUUAUCCAUACAUGUAAAUAUAAGAAAGCUAUGAUAUUCUUGCCACACAAUUUAUUUUCAGCUAUACCAAGACAUUCCUUGAGCAUCUGGGCAUCUGGAAGGCAAUCUAGAGAUUGUAAGACCGUGCACCUUAAACAUAUGUAUUAAGUAUAGAGUGAAUAUUUUCGGGAGGACCAUGGAUGUCUAGAAGAUAGGUCUAAAACUGUGUUCAUUAUGGUAGUAUAAGAAAACUCUAUUACAAAAAUCCAAUGUGCAUUGACAUCUUAAAACAUUGGUCAACUGGACAAUUUACAGAACCUUCUGAAAUCAUUGACCAUGUGCGUGUUGCCAUUACCUAUUCUAACAUAUAAGGUUGCUAGCCAACUUGGCUCCUCGGUGAUCCCCCGGUUUGCUGCCUUCCUGGCCAUUAGAUCGUCCUCGUUUUGCGUCUGAGCCGUCAGAUCUUCACCUCCUGGUAAAUCUUGUUUUCACCCUGCGGUUGUUUUUCCUGCCCAAUGACGGGUGGGCUCGUCUCGCCUUCGUAUUGGCUGGGUCAGCUGCGCUCGUGUGCAAGAGGGAUUCGCCAGACAGCCCCGCACGCCCGCACCGCGUCUCGUCUCAAGUGGCGCAGGUCCCCAACCCCCACGGCCCCACCACAUAAACCCUAGCCUCCCAAGCCCCGCAGCGCCACACUCCCUCCUCCUCCUCCAUCCUUCCUCGCCAGCCGCCGCCGCCGCUGUUCCGCCUCGCUCCUCUCUGUCCGACGACCACGUCACCGCGAGGAAGCCGCCGCGCAAGUGGUCAGGGGACGGCCGCCAUCGUGAGCCAGGAGACCCCCGUUGGCGAGCCUCUGGGCAGGAAGCCGACGUGGAGGACGCAACAAGCUGCCAGGGUCUUCUCGCUAGAAGGUGGAGGAGUAGAGGUUCCCGCCGGAUCCGAGGCGUGCGGCGCGGCGGUGAGCGUCUCCGGUAGCGGCGGUGGCCUGCGGGGGCAAAGGGUGACGGCUGGGGUGCUCGAUUCGAUCCAGCGCCAGGAAGGGAGGUAGAGGAACGACGGGGAAGGGGAUGGGCAGGAGCUUCAUGCCCUGAAUCCAGUCGCCCCGGGCCGUGCCUACAUGAGCAGCACCGCGGCUCGAUGCUUCCCCGCCCGACGAGGACGGCAAGCUAGGUGUUGACAAUGGCAGCCCCAGGCCAUCCGAUCUGUCACCGCCGCCGUUCUUUUGGUCGAGGGCCGCCGUCGUCCACGUGCUCCUCAUCACCCCCACGGCUGGACGCUGGCGAGGUCAACCUCCCCUCCAAGCGCGGGUACUUCCCCGCUCCUUUUCCGUGCUCUCUCUCUUCCCCUGAUAUAUCUCUUUGUCGUACAGGGAAGCAAAUUUGUUCAAUUCUCAGUCUAGAUUUAAUGAAGAAAACUGCGGUUCAUACAACGCCAAUGGAUAUGGAUCCAUCUUGCUGCGCUGGAUAUGGAUCCAUCCUGCUGAUUUGGAAGAAAACUGCAGUUCAUACAAUGCUAAUUAUGGAUAUGGAUCCAUCUAAUACAGUUCUUCACAAAGCCCAAGAAUCGCAAGGCCAUGUACAUGUAACAAUGCAGGCCUAGAAUUAUCAUGUAUCCAAAUUGUUCAGUUCCAGUUCAGUUAUGAGCUAACAAGAUCACCUUAAUGUGCAGGGUUCAAUUGCUUUCGGGGUCAUACUUUUCCUGGUCCUUAUUGGCUGGCCUGACUUCGGCAUGAUGGCGGAGUCGUAUGGCUUUGCCCUGCUAUUCUGGUUAUCCUCUAUUGUGCAUUAAUAUGAUCUUCUGAUGUCUGUUUUUAUUUUAAGUGUGCAUUAAGAAAUGGUAGAAACUUUUGGGUAUUGUAUCUGGCUGGUACUGAAUUUCCUCACAACAGCUUCUGGCCUGCUGCUGUUGUUUACCUGCAAAAAAAACCCACCAUCGGUUGGAUUUUCUAGCACCCUUAUGUGAUAUCGGUGGGCUUUGCUGUUGCUGAGCUUCCUAAAUUUUCUUCGAGUCCAACCCAGUUUGGUCGCCACUUUAUUUACAUGGUCUUGUUCUUGCGAGGGAUUGUGUUUAUCAAGAUUGAUGAACUAUAUGACUGGAUCCCAGCCCCCAUUGUUCUUACUGCUGUUUCCUACUUCUGUAAUUAACCUUUACUGAGUGCUGUUAGGUCUUUAGCAUAACACUCUAAAUAUUUAAGCUAAUAAGGAUACCCUUAGAUGACUGACCCUGUAAUUAACCUUAUUCAGUGUAUGAGCUACAGAGCAUGAAAUUGGGAAAAUACAAAUAUGAUUGGUGGUUGGUUCACCAUUUAAAAAUUUGAUCCACCAAUUGUGUCUCAGUGAUUUCUACUUGGCUAAAACCACGCCAAUAAUUUUGGAACGAUGGAGUACUUAUUUGUUGUUGUGUAUUUGAUGGUUUGAUAAAAAUAUCAUGAAGGUUAAAUCGGGCGUGGUUUUGAUAUAUUUUUGUUACAAGAUAUUACACCGGCUUUCUGGUUUGGAAAUACUUAUAAUCGUUUUCUUCUAACUGCAUGUUAGGCCACACUUUUGUAGACUACUUAGGAUAGAGAUGAUAUGAAUGUGUGCAACAAAAUUCUUUACUCGGGAAUGGCUUGGUAGGUCUCUCGACUAUUCGGUUUCAUCCGUAGGAUUAAAAUUUCUUCAACUUGCUCUCCUCCCACCUUCAAUUUCUUUAAAAUCGUUGUAUUGACAAGUAGAAACAGUAGCUUGUUUGAAUUACGUAAAGUUCAUCCAUGUAACAGUUGCCUCUUAAAGACUGCUGACAAAGUGCAAAUUUGAUAUAAUUUUGCUGAUGACGCAAAAUGAUCGUACACUGAAACCAAAGCCUUUGGAAUUGAAACACAAACCUUACUUAAGAGCAGGCAGAGGCGCAGAGCCAACGGUAUGCUCUUGGAUCAAUAUUUCACAGGUUAAACAACAUUCAUAUGUUCUAGCAUCUUUAGAUUUACAUUUUCUUUUUAACAGUCUAAUUACUCCAUGUAAAAACUGCAUCCAUUUUGGUAUGUGAUACUGCAAGUGUAAAUUAAGAAAGUAGCCUUCACGGUCUAGCUUCAGCAUCUGUAAAUCAUGGAUAUGUACAUACUACAUAAAAAUGGAGCAUCCUUACUCGAUUGCGUUCUUCUGUUUUACAGGUGAUGUUGUUGCCUGGUCUUCUAAACUGCCGCUUGUUUAUCGUUUGCUGUUUUGCUUAUCAAGGAGGGUAACUACUGGAAGCAGUUGGCAAGACAAGCAGUCAAUGGAUCUCAAAGCGUUGAUCCUGAAGGAAGGUAACUACUCAAAGGUAUGCACAUAUUCAUGUUGGAGCAGUUAAGUUUGCAAGGAUCUGCUGUUGGAGGGCAUGGUAUGUGCUCUCAAGAAGUUCUUUAUUAUCCGGUGACAUCUUUUGGCCUAUUGAGGAACUGGACAUGAUUUAUAUAGCGAAGUUAAGCGUAUGGAUGACAACUUCCUCUCAUACCUCUUUUGACCUAUUGAGGAACUAGACAUGAUUUAUAUAGCGAAGUUAAGUGUAUGGAUGACAACUUCCUCUCAUACAUGUUAUCUGUAUAUUUUAUAUACAUGGCUUUUGUGUUCUGUCAUGUGCGUUCCUGCUGCAGACUUUUGUAGGAAAUUCACCAUGGGAAUUUAAAUAAUGGUUCCCUGCCCAUCAGUUUACUUUCUUGCAUUUUAUAGGCCACACUUUUCCUAUUUUGUUAAAGAAGUGAACUCAUUCCUAAACUUCCACCGUAUAUACAUUAACACUGGGAUACUGUACCAACCCAGCAAUACUAAAAAACUAUGAAUUGUGUGUCAGUGUAGUACUAUAUCCCACUGAUGAUGCUUCUCUGUAACACGUUUAUCUAUUUGGUUGCAUGCCUUGAAGGAGUAGUAUAUUGAGCACCCUGAGAUAAUCAUCGAGAAGUUUGGUGGAAUUUUAAAUGAUUUAUUAAGCGACCUUUUAUGAUUGACCAUUGUACGAGAGCAUGUUUUAGUACUACUUGAGAGAGUUAGAAUGUAUAUAUUUUCAACUAAAACCAAUUUUUUCAAAAGGCAAAAUAAUUUCUGCAUGAUCACAUAUCAUGAUUAUCUCCAUGAAGAAUGCUUUAGACAGUACAAUAAUGAAAAUAAGCAUUUUUGGCCUUCGAAACAUAUACUGUUGUUGGGACAUCUGAAUAUCUGAUUGGACCUUUCUAUGUAGAAAAUGAGAAGUGCUAAGUGUACAGAAACCUGCACUUCAUAUUUCUUACAUGCGUGAUUUAUCAUCUACGAUACUCUUUUAUAUUGCUUACUUGCGUGAUUUGUCUGAUUGCCAGUAGAAAUAUUUACGUUAGCAUGUCAGUUUGCUAACUUAGUACCUUCCAUCUUAUACAUUGAUAAUGCUUUGAAGACACCGACAAGAAUAACUAAAUUAAAUUGGGCCUGAACAUGUCAAUUGAACAAUGACAGGUUCUCACCUUUCAACGAAGGAUCUCAUUUAAAAUCCUAAUUUUGGAUGUCUAGGUGGUUGGCUGAUGGAGUGUUGCACUGCUGCUUAUUUAAUGAUCAGUAGUGCAGCUCACGAUUUGAUUUAAUUAGCGUUUUUGUAGUGAAAAUAUGAAGACAAAUUUUCUAAACAACUUCAGGAUAUCUUUGAAAGAAUGUGCUAGAUUUUGGUCCUAUUAUAUUUUCUCAAUUCCUAUGUCAUCUCUCACAUGGCUAUGUGGUCUCCCUGGUUUUGUCUUUACAUUAUAUCUAUGUUGUACUACUGCUACCCCGCGCUACAGAAAGUAUUUUUUAUAUCAGCUUUGCUCUCGUGUGUGCAAGGAUUCCAUUCAGGUAUGAAAAACACCACCCCUCAUGAAGUUACUUCUUUUCAGAGAGAGAAUGAUCAUUGGUUUUUAUAUGGAUUCAGUGCACAUAAAUAAUUAGCUCCCAUUUUAAGUUUGGUUUUGGAAUUAGCUUUCCAGUUCUGUACAUGUUUUCCUCUGAUGAUGGAUUUCUUCUUCUAAGAUGAAUUGAUAACUUUAGCACCAAAUAUGAAGUUAUUUGGACAAAGAAAAGCUUCCUUCCUCUUUGCUAUUUUCUCUCUUUAGUGUUACUUUUUUUAGAACACUCUUUAGUGUUGCUUUGAUGUUCCUUUGUCACUGUUCGAUAUUCUGCCUUGUGUGCCUCUGUCUUGGUUUACAGCUCCAUAUGGCUACCUAUGUGUGUGUGUGUGUGUGUGUGUGUGUGUGUAUAGAUAUGUAGGUUUUGUUUGAACUGUACUCAAACCGUGCAGAUGUUUCCAUAUUCUUGCCUUCAUCUUUUUAACUCGUGACUUUGUUAGAUAGUUGAAUAUCAUUGGCCUCUGUCGGCAUUCUAUUUUUGCAGUUUGAAAUGAGUAUUGGUCCAUUGAUAUUAAACUUCACAAUAGGUGGUGGCAUCUCCAGGAAAAAGUAGUGGCAGAUAUGCUGGACAUUUCUUUUCUGCUGUCCUCAACACAUUUUUUAGUAACGGAGAGGAUUACUCACCUUUGGUGCUGCAGGCGUUCAAGACCUAGCAGGGCUGGGCCAACCGGCCCUUUGUGUUUGAAGAUCCCUGACACCCCAUGCUACCAGCCGGCAUCUUCUUCCUGAGCCAUGUCCGGAACCAGACCAGCAGGGGCACCCUGAGCGAGUACUCGAGGCAUGUUGUCAGGUCGGAGGGGUACAACCAGGCCAGCUGCCGUGUGUGUGCACGGUUCAUACAGUCAAGGUGUUCGCUCAUCUCCCAAGAUGAGCCAGAACGAGCAUGACAAGAGGAACCCCCCAUAUUUUUCAUUCCAAUGGUGUUGUAUGUUGGUUAAAGACUGUUUUUCUUCUCCAAUUAUGAAACCUCAAACGACAGCAAGAUAUAACAUUUUUGUUUGUUUUACAAUCAAAGCUUCCAUCGAAUAAUUUAUUAGAAUUA